AUGCAUGGGAGGAGAGGAUAUUUUGUUUCUGUGGCAAUAGGGGAAGGUCUUCAUAUCACCUCUGAUCUCUCUUGCAGAGUGUCUACCCUAGUUGGUUGCCAGGAGCCCUGCACCAAGUUACCCCUCCAGAUACCUCCUACUGCUGCUGACCGCCUGUUCCCAUCACCUGAAGCAAAACAAAAUAUUCAGCUGGAUGUUUGUCACAAUUCUAAUAUCCCUGCAAAGAUGAGAUGCAUGAAUCACACAGCAAUCUCAUCAAAAAGGUAAGAAAACAAGGAUAUGUUUUAUCCUGAUGAAUUUUACUAGCUUAAAUCCAAUUACUUGUAUUCUUUCAUCUUCCUUUUCAAGAAAUGAGUUCCUUUCUUUCUCCUUUCAAAUACUAGCUGGCUGCUUAAUACCCCAUAUACAGCUAGUAUUAAACUAUCUCUUUGCAAUUAGUGUUUGUGCAGAGAGCAAUUAAUUAGAUUACAGUAUUGGUCACGUUUGUAUCUCACAAGAAAUUAAAGGACCAAAAUGCUUAUGUCUAGAGAAAGAAUCACUUCAAUGACUUUGAUUAAUCUGCUAUAAAACAUCCUCAAGCCCUCCAACAGAUGUAACACUUUAUGCCCUUGCCUCCCGUUUGCAUUUUGUAGUUGGAAUUGGGAACAGACAGGCUUCAUAUGUACGUAAUUGCUUCUGAGCAGAGGGACUAGUGUAAUAAUUUGGACUGAACUCUCCAGUUUAUGGUUUCAGAACUUUCUCCAAACACAUCAAUCCGAUCACAUACCACCAUUAAAAUAUGAAGCGUAUUCAAGAAUCAGGGCACUUGCUAGCAGAUGUAUAACAUGAAUAUUUAAGAUUAAUUGAACAUUUACUAUGUGUCAAGAACUAUGCUAUGUAGUUUGCACGUAUUAUCUCACCAUAAUAAUACUAUUAGGUAGGUAUAGUUAUUAUUUCUUUUAGGUAGUUGUGGAAAUUAGGUGCACAGGGGCAAAGCAAUUUAGCUAGACUCUCAGCUAGGAAGUAGCAGAGCUGGAGUUCAAAAUCAAGCAGUCUGACUCCAGAGCACAUGUUCUUGACAAACUUUUUUUACUGACUUCCAAUAUACUACCAACCAGGCCUGCAGUACCACAUUAGCUAAUGGGGUCACAAGAGCUCAGCUCAAGGAAGCAGAGAACAUGGCCAAGGGACUCUGACUGAAACAUGCAGGUCUGUCUUCUUCCUGGGGUCAUGGGGAAGAGGGUAGCAUUGGUCUGAGGCCUUUCCAUAGAGCCCAGCAUGGCAGGUCCUUCAGUCUUGUCAGGGAUUGGGGUAUGUGUAUUUGGGGGCAAGAGGGAGGAAGUGCACAAAGAGAACUGUAGAAUUCUUGGAAAGGAACUCUCCUCACAUGACCACAGGGAGAUGGGCAAGACCCGGUGUGAGAACCAAAUGCAGCACUUGUUCAGGGCCUCUCACAUGGGGACUGAGAGGUCCUGAUGACAAGGCCUUCUUAGGUGUGCUCUUUGCUGAGGGAUGGGGCAUCUUUCUGUGCUGUUAGUCAUUUUUCCUAACUCAUUCACCUAAGGUGCAGGCAUCAUUUUUCCUUUCCAGAGGUCUUUCCUUCUGCUUCAAGCCCUCUAGUCUCAGCCCUGUCUCCCUCACUAUUGUCGGAUGUCCCCAGACUCUAACCACCAGUAUUUCAGACCCAAGGGGUCUCAGACUUGUCAUUCUCUUUAGUACCGCAGAGGAGAGAACCAGAAAUCCCGUAGAAAAUACAGAAGUAGAAGGUAUCUCAUAGAAGUGACACCUAGGAGGUCUUGCCACACAAACAGGACUGUUCGCAUAGAAGUUCUCAUUAUGUUGGAUCCAGACAUAUUUUAGGUCCAUGGUAUCUGGAGGCUACUGUAAACAGCUUCUCAGGAAGCAUAUGCAUGGGCCUAAUUGUGCACAAUUUUAAACAGCAAUAAAAGAAAUUCUCUAGGGUGGAGGGCGGGGUGCAGUGCACAAUUAUAUUCAGGAUCCAGUUGUGACAAGGCUCAGAGAAUAGAGACCCCAGUGAAUGACUCCAGGUCUAGAAUAAUUUUAGGCAUCCUUCCUCUCAAGAGCAUGAACCAAAGUCUUGUUUAGGUCUCCAUAUUCUAUUGACCAAUUUUCAUUUUAACAUUUGUUCCAGAGAUAGAUAGGAAUUGUUCCCUGGGGUCCCAUUUUGGCUCAGUGUGAUCAGUUUAUCUUGCACUCUGCUAUACUGGAGUAGGAUGUCCAUACUGUAUCCUAAAAAAAUGGUUUUCAAAUUCUUUCCCUGAGAAAAGCUACGCUGUGUUUUCCCCAAACAUUUCAUUUACUUUCUGAUACCCAGGUAUGUGAACACCGGUGGUAGUGCCGUGAAGUCAUCAUUUAUGGGCGGACUUCUUGUGCUGAUCCUUUAAUGCACAAAGGUAAUAAUAAGCUCAAAGGCACACUUUGGAAAAUGGAAAUGAAUUACGGCUUUUGCUUCUAGCCUCACUAUGAACCUCAGAGAAAAACAAAAGGAUGAAUCACUUCCCUAAGUUACUAUUUGGGAGUAAUAGGUGCACCUUCUCUCCCUAGGGCUCUCCUUUCCUCUUGUUCCCUCUCUUCUUCUUCCUCUUUUUUUCUUCUGACCUUCAAUGGUGAUUAUGAUUUUUAUAAGAUAAGUUGGCCCCACCAUUCUUAUAGUCUAUUUAUUUCUUGACUUAUUUGACUUAAAAAAUUGUUAAUAGCUUUAUUGAGAUACAAUUUUUGCAGCUUACAACUUACUCAUUUAAAGUAAAUAAUUCAAUAGUUUUCAUAUAGUUACAGAGCUGUACAAUCAUUAGCAGCUAGUACAACCAUUAGCACUAUCAAUAUUAGAACAUUUUCAUUACAACCAAAUGGAAUCCUGUAGCCAUUAGUUGUCACUUAUUUCUCCUCAUCUUUAUCCAGCCAUAAGGAAUCACUAAGCUACUUGUCUGCUUCUAUGCAUUUGCCCAGUUAACAUCUUUCAUAAAAAUUGAAUCUUACAAUAUAUGGUCUUUUGCAGCAGGCUUUUAUUUACUCAGCAUAAUAAGAUCCAUUCAAGUUUUAAGAUAUAUCCAUAUUUCAUUCAUUUUUAUGGUGUAAUAAAAUUCUCUUUUAUGGAUAGAGCACAUUUUAUUUAGUUAUUAAGCAUUUGGCAGAAAUUUGAGUUCUUUACACAUUUUUGCUACUAUGGAUAAUGCUACUAUGAAUAUCCAUGUACAAGUUUUUGUAUGGACCUACAUUUUCAUUUCUCCAGUGUAUAUACAUAGGAGUGAAAUUGCUGGGUCAUGUGAUAACUCCAUGUUUAACCUUUUGAGGAACUGUCAAACUAUUUUCCCAAUUGACUUCACCAUUUUAAAUUCCCACCAGCAAUUCAUAAGGAUUCUAAUAUCUCUGUAUUUUACCACCAAUUAUUAUUAUCUGUCUUUUUAAUUAUAGCCAAAUAUUUUCACUGAUGAUGUCUUUUCAAGUACAAAAUAUUUUAAUUUUUAUAAAGUCCAAUUUAUUUGUCACUUGUGCUUUUUUUGGUAUUAUAUCUAAGAAGAUUACUCCCAAGUUUUCCUAAAAGAGUUUCAUAAUUGUAGGUUUUACAUUUAAGUUUAUGAGUAUUUUUGUGUUUGGUGUAAGGAAGGUGUCCAAAUUCAUUCUUUUGUAUGUGGAUAGAUAUCAGGAUGUCCUAGCACCAUUUAUCAAAAAUAUAAUUGUUUCCCCAUUGAAUUGUAUUGACACCCUUGUUAAAGACCAAUUAACCGUAUGUGUAAUGGUUUAUUUCUGGAAUCCCAAUUCUGUUUCAGUGAUCUAUAUGUCUCUUCUUAUGCCUGUACCACACUACUUUUGCAGUAAGUUUUGAAACUGGAAGGAGUGAGUCCUCCAGCUUUUCUCUUAUUCAAGACUGUUUUGGCUAUUCUGAUAUCGCUGCAUUUCCACAUGAAUUUUAGGAUUUACUUAUCAAUUUCUUCCGAAGUGGAAGCUAAGAUUGUGUUGAAUCUGUAGAUCCGUUUGAAUAGAAUUGGUAUCUUAAAAUAUGAGGGGUUCCAAUCCAUAAAUACAGGCUUUCUUUCCAUUCAUUUAAAUCUUCUUUAAUAUUUUUCAAUAAGUUUUUAUAGUUUUCAG
Long non-coding RNA from Macaca mulatta (Rhesus monkey), 4086 nucleotides. The record is from Ensembl. NCBI's taxonomy places the organism in Eukaryota, Metazoa, Chordata, Mammalia, Primates, Cercopithecidae.